Molecule: long non-coding RNA, 711 nt
Filed under: Populus tremula
Lineage: Eukaryota; Viridiplantae; Streptophyta; Magnoliopsida; Malpighiales; Salicaceae
Description: long non-coding RNA (PTRE_LNC001611)
Source: RNAcentral
GAGGAAGAACACUUACCUGGGCGAAGACAAAGACGAGGGUAAUGAUCCUAGCGCCGGCCGAAGAACGUCCUUCUCUUCCCCUUCCUUUCAGUCUCUCUCCCUUCUGUCUCCUGCGUUCUCUCGUUCUCUCUCGUUUUCUCCCUUUUUUAAUUUUUUUCCUGCCUUGUCUCUCUGCUUUUUUUGGUCCUCUCUGUGAACUCCCCCCUGUUAUUGCCCCUGUGUUUGUUCCCUAUUUUUUGUUCGUUCUUCUCCCUGUGUUUACCUUCUGCUGGCAAUGGGAACCUCUACUGGAUGCUGCUCUCGGUUGAAGAUAAGAUGUUGGACACUGCUUCUGCUAUUCAUGAUGGUAGCUUGCUGAGAAGAGGAUUUCUGCUGCUCGCAGUGGCAGCUUGUUGAGAGGAGCUGCUGUCAUUGGUCGUUGAUGAUGUGACUGAAAAUCAAGUUGCUGAAAAUAGUACUGCCGCUGCUGGGAAGAGGAGGUUACUGCUGCUAUCCGAAGAGAAGGGACUCAAGUUCUCUGCCGACCGGAUGUUGCUGAUGGAAGCUGCUGAAACACCGGCUGAAAGCCUAUAUGGAAAAGAGAAGAAGCUCCUGCUGGACUGAGGGGAAAAAGGAGAUGAAGGCGUCUCCUGCAACACCGGCCGAAAGCCUGGGUGGCGGCAGGGAGCAGAAAGUGGGAUAACAGCCGAAUUUGUGCUCUGCUACAAUUAU